GAUGAACGCUGGCGGCGUGCCUAAUACAUGCAAGUCGAGCGAACAGACGAGGAGCUUGCUCCUCUGACGUUAGCGGCGGGCGGGUGAGUAACGCGUGGAUAACCUACCUAUAAGAGUGGGAUAACUUCGGGAAACCGGAUCUAAUACCGGAUAAGCUCUUGAACCGCAUUGUGCGUUAGUGAAAGUCGGUUUUUCUGUCACUUCUAGAUGGUUCCGCGCUGCAUUAGCUAGUUGGUAAGGUAACGGCUUACCAAGGCGACGAUGCGUAGCCGAAGUGAGAGGGUGAUAGCCCACACUGGAACUGAGACGCGGUCAAGACUCCUACGGGAGGCAGCAGUAGGGAAUGUGCGGCAAUGGGCGAAAGCCUGACGGAGCAACGCCGCGUGAGUGAUGAAGGUCUUCGGAUCGUAAAACUCUGUUAUUAGGGAAGAACAGAUGUGUAAGUAAACAUGCACGUCUUGACGGUACCUGAUCAGAAAGCAACGGCUAACUACGUG
This 497-nucleotide ribosomal RNA is filed under the name uncultured bacterium. RNAcentral's name for it is "partial 16S ribosomal RNA". It matches the Rfam family "Bacterial small subunit ribosomal RNA", at positions 28 to 507 of the family's 1533-position model. The record is from RNAcentral.